CCUACGGGAGGCAGCAGUGAGGAAUAUUGGUCAAUGGACGAGAGUCUGAACCAGCCAAGUAGCGUGAAGGAUGACUGCCCUAUGGGUUGUAAACUUCUUUUAUAUGGGAAUAAAACGUUCCACGUGUGGGAUUUUGUAUGUACCAUAUGAAUAAGGAUCGGCUAACUCCGUGCCAGCAGCCGCGGUAAUACGGAGGAUCCGAGCGUUAUCCGGAUUUAUUGGGUUUAAAGGGAGCGUAGGUGGAGUGUUAAGUCAGUUGUGAAAGUUUGCGGCUCAAGCGUAAAAUUGCAGUUGAAACUGGCAGUCUUGAGUACAGUAGAGGUGGGCGGAAUUCGUGGUGUAGCGGUGAAAUGCUUAGAUAUCACGAAGAACUCCGAUUGCGAAGGCAGUUCACUGGACUGCAACUGACACUGAGGCUCGAAAGUGUGGGUAUCAAACAGGAUUAGAUACCCUUGUAGUC
This 460-nucleotide ribosomal RNA is filed under the name uncultured bacterium. RNAcentral's name for it is "partial 16S ribosomal RNA". It matches the Rfam family "Bacterial small subunit ribosomal RNA", at positions 338 to 795 of the family's 1533-position model. The record is from RNAcentral.